RNAcentral lists this ribosomal RNA (445 nucleotides) under uncultured bacterium. RNAcentral describes it as "partial 16S ribosomal RNA". It matches the Rfam family "Bacterial small subunit ribosomal RNA", at positions 354 to 796 of the family's 1533-position model. The record is from RNAcentral.
GUGAGGAAUAUUGGUCAAUGGGCGAGAGCCUGAACCAGCCAAGUCGCGUGAAGGAUGAAGGUUUUAUGAAUUGUAAACUUCUUUUGCAGGAGGGUAAAGUGAGCUACGUGUAGUUCAUUGCAAGUACCCUGCGAAUAAGCAUCGGCUAACUCCGUGCCAGCAGCCGCGGUAAUACGGAGGAUGCGAGCGUUAUCCGGAUUUAUUGGGUUUAAAGGGUGCGUAGGCGGACUAAUUAGUCAGCGGUGAAAUUUUGCGGCUCAACCGUAAAACUGCCGUUGAAACUGUCAGUCUUGAGUGCGGUAGAGGUAGGCGGAAUGUGUGGUGUAGCGGUGAAAUGCUUAGAUAUCACACAGAACACCGAUUGCGUAGGCAGCUUACUGGAGCGCAACUGACGCUGAGGCACGAAAGCGUGGGGAUCGAACAGGAUUAGAAACCCCAGUAGUCC